This is a small nucleolar RNA of Heterocephalus glaber (naked mole-rat), 135 nucleotides long. Its record names the gene SNORA70. It matches the Rfam family "Small nucleolar RNA SNORA70". From Rfam's summary of the family: snoRNA U70 seems to be exclusive to mammals and is a member of the H/ACA class of snoRNA which contain H (ANANNA) and ACA box motifs. H/ACA box snoRNAs are involved in the conversion of uridines to pseudouridines (5-ribosyluracil) a constituent of structural RNAs (transfer, ribosomal, small nuclear, and small nucleolar). NCBI's taxonomy places the organism in Eukaryota, Metazoa, Chordata, Mammalia, Rodentia, Bathyergidae. The record is from Ensembl.
CUGUAGCUAUUUAUGCUGACUGGACUCCUUACCUUAAGGAGCCUGGUCUGCAGUGGCUGCAAACAGCAGCAUCCUUGGUAAUGUACUAAGUCUGUUGCUUAUUUGGGUUCCCCUAAGGGUCCACUGGAGACAGGG